Long non-coding RNA from Mauremys mutica (yellowpond turtle), 547 nucleotides. RefSeq lists it as uncharacterized. The record is from RefSeq and is a predicted model, not a curated record. The transcript has 6 exons. Lineage: Eukaryota; Metazoa; Chordata; Testudines; Geoemydidae.
CUCAGCUGGACAUUGGGAAGAGCUGGUUGAUGCUGUGCUGUAUGGCAGCUAUUCUGGAAAUUCCUACUAUAUUGGAUUCAAGAUUUGGCAUUCAAGCUUUGGCUAGAAGUACAAGGAUCCUGGACUAUGUGGAAUAAAUGAUGUCUUGUUGGAUGGAGACUCCAUCUAGGGCUAGUCCAUGUAUCUGCAGCAAAUUUGCUGCUUCGUUUUGGCCCCUCAUCUGCUUCUUCCUUCCAAAGGAAGCAUCUUCAUCAGUUACAAAGGCAGUUAGGUGGUGUGAGAACAUAGGAACAUGCUGGACCCCAGUUUCCCAAAUCAGGAUGAGUGCUCCAUCAUGGUCCAGUUUAAUGGGUGACCACCCAUUGAUUUCCCCUAUAUUGUCUGAUGCUCACCUCCUAUUGUUGUAUGAGGCUUUCCUAGGACAGACUGGAUGAUGUAUCAUUGAGACACUGUCUACACGAUCAGAGAACUUGGAAUCUCACAGCCAGUCACUGGCCCCUUAAGGCUCAGUCUGGCCAUGUAAUCCCAACCCCUUCCUCCAAUCAGU